This 497-nucleotide ribosomal RNA is filed under the name uncultured bacterium. RNAcentral's name for it is "partial 16S ribosomal RNA". It matches the Rfam family "Bacterial small subunit ribosomal RNA", at positions 28 to 507 of the family's 1533-position model. The record is from RNAcentral.
GACGAACGCUGGCGGCGUGCCUAAUACAUGCAAGUCGAACGCUGAAGAGAGGAGCUUACUCUUCUUGGAUGAGUUGCGAACGGGUGAGUAACGCGUAGGUAACCUGCCUUGUAGCGGGGGAUAACUAUUGGAAACGAUAGCUAAUACCGCAUAACAAUGGAUGACACAUGCCAUUUAUUUGAAAGGGGCAAUUGCUCCACUACAAGAUGGACCUGCGUUGUAUUAGCUAGUAGGUGAGGUAAUGGCUCACCUAGGCGACGAUACAUAGCCGACCUGAGAGGGUGAUCGGCCACACUGGGACGGAGACACGGCCCAGACUACUACGGGAGGCAGCAGUAGGGAAUCUUCGGGAAUGGGGGCAACCCUGACCGAGCAACGCCGCGUGAGUGAAGAAGGUUGUCGGGUCGUAAAGCUCUGUUGUAAGUCAAGAACGGGAGUGAGAGUGGAAAGUUCACACUGUGACGGUAGCUGACCAGAAAGGGACGGCUAACUACGUG